AAAUUAGACCAAGCAUUUGAAUAGGAAUGAAAAAUCUGCGGAUUUUGAAACUUAAAUCUGCAGAUUUCUCAUUUCUGUUUAAGUGUUUAUAUUUCUGCCAUUAUUUAGUU
RNAcentral lists this microRNA precursor (110 nucleotides) under Brugia malayi. RNAcentral describes it as "microRNA bma-mir-9528 precursor". Lineage: Eukaryota; Metazoa; Nematoda; Chromadorea; Rhabditida; Onchocercidae. The record is from miRBase by way of RNAcentral.